Molecule: non-coding RNA, 84 nt
Filed under: Actinomycetota bacterium
Lineage: Bacteria; Bacillati; Actinomycetota
Description: Actinobacteria bacterium c-di-GMP-II sequence
Rfam family: Cyclic di-GMP-II riboswitch aptamer
Source: RNAcentral
GGGCCGAUCCGAAGCGAUGAACCGCCAUCUGUGAUUGGGCGCCUGGAUGACGGGGAGCGAGUGGCGCAACCGGCUGAUCGUGUU